UCGUCAGCUCGUGCCGUGAGGUGUCGGCUUAAGUGCCAUAACGAGCGCAACCCCUGCGUGUAGUUGCCAUCAGGUGAUGCUGGGCACUCUGCACGGACUGCCACCGUAAGGUGUGAGGAAGGUGGGGAUGACGUCAAAUCAGCACGGCCCUUACGUCUGGGGCUACACACGUGUUACAAUGGGUGGUACAGCGAGUUGUCCGCCGGCAACGUCGGACCAAUCUUGAAAACCAUUCUCAGUUCGGAUUGGGGUCUGCAACCCGACCCCAUGAAGCUGGAUUCGCUAGUAAUCGCGCAUCAGCCAUGGCGCGGUGAAUACGUUCCCGGGCCUUGUACACACCGCCCGUCAAGCCAUGAAAGCCGGGGGUGCCUGAAGUCCGUGACCGCAAGGAUCGGCCUAGGGCAAAACCGGUGAUUGGGGCUAAGUCGUAACAAGGUAGCCGUA
This 444-nucleotide ribosomal RNA is filed under the name uncultured bacterium. Its description in RNAcentral is "bacterial SSU rRNA". It matches the Rfam family "Bacterial small subunit ribosomal RNA", at positions 1052 to 1504 of the family's 1533-position model. The record is from RNAcentral.